This 351-nucleotide small nucleolar RNA is filed under the name Saccharomyces cerevisiae YJM195. RNAcentral's name for it is "SNR42". It matches the Rfam family "Small nucleolar RNA snR42". Lineage: Eukaryota; Fungi; Ascomycota; Saccharomycetes; Saccharomycetales; Saccharomycetaceae. The record is from RNAcentral.
AUAACAAUUUGUGAUGCUUUAGGGAGCCUAUUGUUUGAUGGUUUAUAGGAGCCGGAUUUGUCUUUUUGACUAAUUUUCAACCUAUUCUUACUUCCAAAACUGUUGCAAUGACUCUCGUUUUUGUUAAAUUUUCCUCUUUUCUCUUCUUUGGCAUAGUUUAUUUUUAAUAAAUUAUUUCAGGGUGAGAUAGAGAAAGAAUAAUGAGUAUCGUAGAUAAAUCUUCGGUUCCGAAUAGUGUAACUGUUGGUGCUGAGGUAAUCCAUCUUUAAAACCAUCGCCGUUAGAGGUUGCUUCUGAUAUUUUCGGUUAAGCGACCCAUGAAAUGGUGAUGACCUGAGGUAUGGAACAUCU